Molecule: long non-coding RNA, 1826 nt
Organism: Oreochromis aureus
Lineage: Eukaryota; Metazoa; Chordata; Actinopteri; Cichliformes; Cichlidae
Source: Ensembl
AACGGUGACGUCAUUAGUGACUUUGCCCUGUUUGUCAUAUAAACCGUUUGAGUGACCUGCAGGUCUGGACAUCCCUCAGUUCAGUUCAGUCAGAGCAGCAGAGCUAAUGUCUGAACCACAGCACUGACUUUAAUCGACAUCCAAGCUCAUACAGAUUUCUUUGGUCAGAGGAGAUUUCAUUCAUGUACCCGGACUAGCUGCCUUCCUUGACCGCUAGCUAGUUAGCUAACUAGCUAAGGACGUUAGAUUAUCUUAAAAACACAUUUAACUUAGCGAAACAGUGCGGAGGGGUUUCGUUUCCUUCUGUCGGUUAUUUUCGGUUUAUUGAACAACACCUCAGGCUGUCAGUGUGUAACAGUCGGUGUGGUUUUGGAAAGGUUCAUUAUAACUAAAACAUCAUGCCAGUGUUACAGGAUACUGUUUUCUUCACGCCUGACUCAGCGGAGGAGGAUUUAAAAAACGUACUUACGAUCGAGCCAUUUGUAAUGUAACUACUCGGCACCGCAAUGGAGGGGCUCAGCCGGGCUCCGCUUGCUGAUCACACUUUGAUGACAAGAGGAGUCGGAUUAACGGGAAUCAUGGCGGAGAGGAACCAGGACCAGCAGACCAUAAACCUAGAGACCAGCGACGGAGGGCAGCGCUCCGAAGCUCCCAACGAGCUCCAGGGAGAGGCCAGCUAGCCUUCAAAGGAUUUGCACCAGAGAGAAACUGUACAGCUGUGAUGAAUGUAGAUCACUAUCUACUCAAUCAGGCUCCUUGAGUCGCCAUCAGCAAAUCCAUAUGGAGGAAAGGUCAUCCAUCCAGGGAGACAGGCAAUACAUUUGAAACCAGUGUGAGAAAACCUUUACUCAGAAAGGUACUCUGGUGUGUCACAUGUUAGUUCAGGCUGGAGACAAACCACACUGGGGGAAAGAAUGCAAAGCGCUUUCAGGAAAAGGUUGAACUUGGUGCACUGUGAAAACCUUCAUGACAGGGAAUAAACUGACAGAUUAUGCUGCGGCUGACUGAGACACUCAAGUCCAGACUUUAGUGUAGACCUUUAGAGCUAAAAAUGUAUUGUGCAAGUAGUCUAUACAUGUUAGCAAGGCUGCUGAGAAGUAACCAUCAACAUAUGUGGGAUUGAAACUGAGCAGAUGAAAUGAAUCAGACGUGUGAAAAAUAUGUUUUGUUCUAAACCUCUGAGAUGAUAUAUUGAAUUGACAGUUUUCUGUGACUCCGAUGAACAAAUCAGUUGUUUAACAUUCAGUGCUUUUGUGUUUUUUGGAAGGGAGAUGUAGGAACUUACUGUUACAGUUUGACUUUGCAUCUGGAACUCUUUAGUUCUUGUUGAUCUUGCCAUAAAGUGUUUCACGAUUUUAAAGUGCAAAAUACAGUUCUAUAUUUUAAAGAAACCUCUGAGACGAGUUAUCAAUUUGACGUUGAUCUUUGACUCCAGUGAUCAAAUUAAUUGUUUGAUAUUUUGUAUUUUUGUUUCCUGCUCACAAAAGUUGUUAAUAAAUAUGGACAUUACUGUUCAUCUGGGCAAAUGGAAUCAAUCUGAGAGCAGGGGAGAAGGGACAGAAGCAAAAAAAAGAAUGAGAGCGAACAUCACUCAGAGAUGGAAAAAGCAGAGGUGAUAUUGAGAGGUAAGGACUGCUUAGUAGGAACUGAAAACAUUUAAAUUUAAAGCUUACAUGUAAUGUCUUCUUUUCUUAAAAUCAGAUUUUGUGUGUGUAUAUGAUGUGAAGUUAUAUUUUUUCAUAUUGUGAAUGGUCCUGCGUAACAAUCGGAGGUGUACUAACUUUGUCUUAUUUAAAGGUUGCAUAAAAAUACUGUGCAGUUCAGGG